This is a long non-coding RNA of Ictalurus punctatus (channel catfish), 5127 nucleotides long. NCBI's taxonomy places the organism in Eukaryota, Metazoa, Chordata, Actinopteri, Siluriformes, Ictaluridae. The record is from Ensembl.
CUCUCUCUCUCACACACGACCCCUCCUCUCUUUUAAACAAGCUCACACACCCCUCCUCUCUCUCACACACAUACACUUUAAACUGUGCUCUUCUAACACACACACACACACACACACACACACACACACACACCUCCCUCCUGUCGUUCACACAUACACACACUCUCCUUUCUCACAAACACUGCAUCACUCACUCACACACACUCUCUCUCUCUCUCUCUCUCUCUCACACACACACACACACACACACACACACACACACACACACACGGUGUCUGUCUUUGUCACGCACACACUCACUCAGUCCCCGCCUUCUUUCCCCUCUGCACGCACGCACACACACACACUCUCUCUCUCACACACACUCACACACACAUACACACACUCACGCACUCUCUCUCUCACACACACACACACACACACACACUAACACGUACACACAAACACCUACAUACACACUCACACACACACACACACACACACACUCACACAAACACCUACAUACACACUCACACACACACACACUCACACACAAACACUUACAUACACACACACAUUCACGCGCACACUCACACACAAACACCUACAUACACACUCGCACACACACACACACACACACUCACGCGCACACUCACACACAAACACCUACAUACACACUCACGCGCGCGUACAAUAUUUAAUGGAUAAUGGUUUAUUGGAUCGUUUUAAUAGAUUUUAAUAAACAUUUAAUAUUAAAAUAAGAAGUUUAAACUUGAUUUUAUUUAGAGAUGUAUGAUCUUCUGUGGUAAAGUGACGUAGUUAAAGUCCGUGAAUGAGUGAAACACCUGAUUCUUUUAUUUAUAAGAACAAGAAUUUAACUUUAACAGUGUAUUACUGAACAAACAGUCACUUUUAUUCGAAAUAUUAGAUAUUAACGCCAUUAUUAAUAACAAUUAUUAACUUUUUUCAAAUUAAACUGACACUUUUAUCCUGACAGAAAAUUCACUUCUAGCUGUCAGUCAGAACUGGCUUAUAAAUUCCGCACGCGCUGUAUAGCUGGAAUAACGGUCACAAAUUGAGCUAAGCUAACUAACAUUUCGCCUUUUAUUUAUUCAUAUUCAUUUAAACUGAGCUGGUUUCUCUCACCCCCGAGGCAGCGGAGGCGGCUUGCUAGCCUCUCCGUCUCUGUCCCUGUCCAGCGCCAGAGGCUCCCGGCGGUCAAACUGCGAGCGAACGGUCUCCGCCAUGUUUACGCGCAGAGAUCUGGAUCGACUCCGCUGCUUUGCGGAGCUCUUCUCACACACUAGCGCUCGCGCCUAUACUGUGCGUACCGGUUGUUUCAGUCGCUACCACUUCCUUGCAGCCGCGGGGGUGAAACCCGUCCUCGUUCUUACAGUAAACAUAUUAAAAAAAUAGAACCACAGUACAAAAAUCCUACAAAUAGACUUAUAAAUGACAAAUAAAAUAAAAUGUAUAGUGCCGUUCUUUGUUUUAACUUUUAGAAAAGAUGUUUUGAGUUAUAAAACCUCGAGCGUGCACCCCUGACUGUAAUGGAUGAAUGAUCGCUCCCGCGGUAGUACAGGAGGGAGGGAGAGCUGGCUGUGUCUGAAACCUCACACUACCGCACUAUAUAGUACGCUACCUACGGUAACUAUGGUAACCUAUUCUGGAGAAUUAAUUUAAAAUACUAUGUAGAGCAGUAGUUUUCGGUUUGAAACGUGGCCGUCGUCUUUGUUUCCAAGCAAAGUUGAUUAUGGUCUAUUAGCAAAAUGUACACCCAAUAGGCUUUUGAAAGUGGUGUGACGUAAUGUUAAAUUGAUAUUAAUAAUGAUCUAUCUAUCUAUCUAUCUAUCUAUCUAUCUAUCUAUCUAUCUAUAAUGACGGUCAUGAUGAUGAUGAUCAUGGUGAUGAUGGUGUUGGUGGUGGUGUUGGUGAUGAUGAUGAUGACGAUGAUGGUGUUGAUGGUGGUGCUGGUGGGGGUGAUGACGAUGACGAUGAUGGUGUUGAUGGUGGUGCUGGUGGGGGUGAUGACGAUGACGAUGAUGGUGUUGAUGGUGGUGCUGGUAGGGGUGAUGACGAUGACGAUGAUGGUGUUGAUGGUGAUGACGAUGAUGACGAUGAUGGUGUUGAUGGUUGUGCUGGUAGGGGUGAUGACGAUGAUGGUGUUGAUGGUGGUGCUGGUAGGGGUGAUGACGAUGAUGGUGUUGAUGGUGGUGCUGGUGGGGGUGAUGACGAUGACGAUGAUGGUGUUGAUGGUGGUGCUGGUGGGGGUGAUGACGAUGACGAUGAUGGUGUUGAUGGUGGUGCCGGUGGGGGUGAUGACGAUGAUGGUGUUGAUGGUGGUGCUGGUGGGGGUGAUGACGAUGACGAUGAUGGUGUUGAUGGUGGUGCUGGUGGGGGUGAUGACGAUGACGAUGAUGGUGUUGAUAGUGGUGCUGGUAGGGGUGAUGACGAUGACGAUGAUGGUGUUGAUGGUGAUGACGAUGAUGACAAUGAUGGUGUUGAUGGUGGUGCUGGUAGGGGUGAUGACGAUGAUGGUGUUGAUGGUGGUGCUGGUGGGGGUGAUGACGAUGACGAUGAUGGUGUUGAUGGUGGUGCUGGUGGGGGUGAUGACGAUGACGAUGAUGGUGUUGAUAGUGGUGCUGGUAGGGGUGAUGACGAUGACGAUGAUGGUGUUGAUGGUGAUGACGAUGAUGACAAUGAUGGUGUUGAUGGUGGUGCUGGUAGGGGUGAUGACGAUGACGAUGAUGGUGUUGAUGGUGAUGAUGAUGAUGAUAGUGGUGGUGGUGGUAAUAGUGGUGAUGAUGAUGAUGGUGGUGGUUAUGGUGGUGCUGGCGGGGUUGAUGAUGAUGAGAAUAUCAGUAGUAGUGGUGCUGAUAAGUAGGUGGUGACAAUUGGUGAUGGUGAUGAUGGUGGUGGUGGUGGUGGUGGUGCUGGUGGAGGUGAUGAUGAUGAUGGUGGUGGUUGUGGAGAUGAUGAUGGUGGUGAUGGUGGUGGUGGUGGUAUCUUAAAAAAAACAGCUAAAGACCCUACCUCUUCUGUGAACACCUAACUAACCCCUAAUAAAUAAGUAAAUAAAUAAAUAAAAUAAAAUAAAAACCUUACUCUGGCACUUACACCUCUACUCUGCACACUUUGCUUCUUCUAGAACUCAAUUAAUACAUCUUGUAUGGUAGCACUACUUGUAUUGUUCUCUGCUUGAUAUAUCGCUUUGCUUGUAUUUUCUCAUUUGUAAGUCGCUUUGGAUAAAAGCGUCUGCUGAAUGAAUAAAUAUGGUGGUGAUGAUAGUGGUCUUGAAGUUGAUAAUGAUGGUGGUGGUUUGUCGGUGUUCAUAGAGCUUAUGAUUAUGAUAGAGUCUUUAUUUUUCACAUGCACAGUAUCUUUUAUUCGCAUACCUCACCAUGUCAGGAAGUUGAGGUCAGAGUGCAGGGUCAGCCAUGAUACAGUGCCCCUGGAGCAGAGAGGGUUAAGGGCCCAACAGGGGCAUUUUGGCAGUGCUGGGGCUUGAACCCCCGACCUUCUGAUCAGUAACCCAGAGCCUUAACCACCAAGCCACCACUGCCCCCGAUGAUGAUGAUGAUGAUGAUGAUAAUGAAGAUGGUGGUGAAGAUAAGUUGGUGGAAACAAUGAUAAUGAUGGUUGAUGAAGGUGAUGGUUUUGUUAACAGUGGAAAAUGGAGUGAUGCUGACAGUAAGGCUGAUGAUGAUAAUGAAGAUGGAGAGUUAGAGAAUAAUGGUUCUGGUGUUUUUUGGUGGAUGCUGAAGCUUUUAUAAUGAUGACGGUGAUGAUGAUGGUGAUGAUGAUGGUGGUGGUGAUAAAGUUCAUGGUAUUGUUAGUAAUAAUGAUUAUGUUCAUGAGGAUGAUGAGGAUAAAGUUGAUGAUGAUUAAGUUCAUGGUAUUGUUUGGGAUGAUGAUGAUGAUGAUUAUGAUCAUAGUUUUGAUGAUGAUGGAGAUGACAGUGAUGAUGGUUAUGAUGAUGAUGAUGAUGAUGAUAGUGGUGAUUAUGAGAUGGCAAAGAUGAUGGUGGUGGUGAUGAUGAUGAUGAUGAUGAUAGUGCUGGUGGAGCUCAUGAUGAUGAUAACCAUGAUGAUGACAAUGAUUAUGGUCAAGAUGGCUUUGUUGAUUAUAAUUAUAAUGAUAAUGACAAUGGUGAUGUUAGUGGUGUUCAUGGUAUUGUUGGUAGAUGCUGAGAAUAACUUUUAUAAUGAUGAUAAAGUUUGUUGUAUUGUUGGUGAUGAUGAUGAUUAUAAUAAUGAUGUUCAUGAACUGAUGAUGAUGGUGGAAAUGAUGAUGAUUAUGAUGAUGAUGAUGAUAGUAGUGGUAAUGAUGAUGGUGAUGAUGAAGAUAGUAGUGGUAAUGAUAAUGAUGGUGAUGAUGAUGGUGGUAAUGAUGAUGAUGGUGAUGAUGAUGAUGAUGAUGGUGAUGAUGAUGAUGAUGGUGAUAGUGGUGGUAAUGACGAUGAAGAUAAUGAUCAUGAUGGUGAUAGUGGUGGUAAUGAUGAUGAUGGUGAUAGCGGUGGUAAUGAUGAUGAUGGUGAUGAUGAUGAUGAUGAUGGUGAUAGUGGUGGUAAUGAUGAUGAUGGUGAUGGUGAUGAUGAUGAUGAUGAUAUGAUGGUGAUAGCGAUGGUAAUGAUGAUGAUGAUGAUGAUGAUGAUGAUGAUGGUGAUGAUCAUUAUGUGACAGUGGUGGUAAUGAUGAUGAUGAUGGGUGAUGAUGAUGAUGAUGAUGAUGAUGAUGAUGAUGAAGGUGAUGAUGAUGAUGGUGAUGGUGAUGAUGAUGGUGAUGUGGUGGUAAUGAUGAUGAUGAUGAUGGUGAUGAUGAUGAUGGUAAUGAUGAUGAUGAUGAUAAUGAUGAUGGUGAUAGUGGUGGUAAUGAUAAUGAUGAUGAUGAUGAUGAUGAUGAGUGUGGUGGUAAUGAUAAUGAUGAUGAUGAUGAUGAUGAUGAUAGUGGUGGUAUGAUAAUGAUGAUGAUGGUGAUGAUGAUGAUGAUGAUGAUGAUGAUGGUGAUGAUGAUGGUGAUAGUGGUGGUAAUGAUGAUGAUGGUGGUGAUGAUGAUGAUAGUGGUGGUAAUGAUGAUGAUGAUGGUGAUAGUGGUGGUAUGAUAGUGGUGGUAAUGAUGAUGAUGAUGAUGAUGAUGAUGAUGAUGAUAG